RNAcentral lists this ribosomal RNA (406 nucleotides) under Metridia princeps. RNAcentral's name for it is "partial 28S ribosomal RNA". It matches the Rfam family "Eukaryotic large subunit ribosomal RNA", at positions 331 to 666 of the family's 3401-position model. The record is from RNAcentral. Lineage: Eukaryota; Metazoa; Arthropoda; Copepoda; Calanoida; Metridinidae.
AGUCCGAUAGCAAACAAGUACCGUGAGGGAAAAUUGAAAAGAACUUUGAAGAGAGAGUUCAAGAGUACGUGAAACCGUCUAGCGGUAAAGAGAGGGGUUCUCGAAGUUUCUGAGGGGGACUCAACCUUGGUGGYGCUUGGCCUGGAUGUAUUUGAUCAGCAAUGACUUUGCAUUUAGUCCCCAGUGCCUCCCGGACGCACUUUCUCCUCAGUUUACGGCAGGAACCGUUAGGAGCGGACUGAAGGCUCAGGGUGAAGUUGUCGGUUAUGCUGGCAGCCCUUGGUGUCCUAGCUUCGCAUCUGACGGGUAUGUAAGCAAACUCGUAUAGCGAGCAAUUGUCUAUUGCGGUUUGCAUCUCUCUGCCGAGUAGGUCGGCGGCCCCUCUCACCCGUCUUGAAACACGGAC